This 370-nucleotide ribosomal RNA is filed under the name uncultured organism. RNAcentral describes it as "bacterial SSU rRNA". It matches the Rfam family "Bacterial small subunit ribosomal RNA", at positions 526 to 896 of the family's 1533-position model. The record is from RNAcentral.
CGGAGGGUGCAAGCGUUGUCCGGAUUUAUUGGGUUUAAAGGGUGCGUAGGCGGUCCUGUAAGUCAGCGGUGAAAUCCCGACGCUCAACGUCGGAAUUGCCGUUGAUACUGCCGGACUUGAGUUCGACCGAGGUCGUUGGAACGCGUAGUGUUGCGGUGAAAUGCUUAGAUAUUACGCAGAACACCGAUUGCGAAGGCAGAUGGCUAGGUCGCGACUGACGCUGAGGCACGAAAGUGCGGGGAUCAAACAGGAUUAGAUACCCUGGUAGUCCGCACCGUAAACGAUGGAUACUAGGUGUCCGGCCUUUCGGGGCUGGGUGCCCAAGGGAAACCGAUAAGUAUCCCACCUGGGGAGUACGUCCGCAAGGAUG